CUGCUACGUCGAGCACGCCGGCAACCGCACGGCCUCCCCCGAGGAGGCCCGGCAGGUCGUGGCGCUGGCCCGGGAGUUCGUGGGCACCCCGUGGCGGGCC
RNAcentral lists this transfer RNA (100 nucleotides) under Kocuria turfanensis. Its description in RNAcentral is "tRNA-Arg". Lineage: Bacteria; Bacillati; Actinomycetota; Actinomycetes; Micrococcales; Micrococcaceae. The record is from RNAcentral.